Molecule: ribosomal RNA, 253 nt
Filed under: uncultured bacterium
Lineage: Bacteria
Description: partial 16S ribosomal RNA
Rfam family: Bacterial small subunit ribosomal RNA
Source: RNAcentral
UACAGAGGGUGCGAGCGUUAAUCGGAAUUACUGGGCGUAAAGCGCACGUAGGCGGCUUGGUAUGUCGGGUGUGAAAUCCCUCGGCUUAACCGGGGAACUGCAUCUGAUACUGGAUGGCUUGAGUUCGGGAGAGGGAUGUGGAAUUCCAGGUGUAGCGGUGAAAUGCGUAGAUAUCGAGAGGAACACCUGCGGCGAAGGCGGGUUGCUGGGCCGACACUGGCGCUGACGCGCGAAAGCCAGGGGAGCGAACGGG